RNAcentral lists this ribosomal RNA (322 nucleotides) under uncultured bacterium. RNAcentral's name for it is "bacterial SSU rRNA". It matches the Rfam family "Bacterial small subunit ribosomal RNA", at positions 585 to 907 of the family's 1533-position model. The record is from RNAcentral.
AAGCGAGAUGUGAAAGCCCCGGGCUCAACCUGGGAACUGCAUUUCGAACUGGCAAACUAGAGUGUGAUAGAGGGUGGUAGAAUUUCAGGUGUAGCGGUGAAAUGCGUAGAGAUCUGAAGGAAUACCGAUGGCGAAGGCAGCCACCUGGGUCAACACUGACGCUCAUGUACGAAAGCGUGGGGAGCAAACGGGAUUAGAUACCCCGGUAGUCCACGCCGUAAACGAUGUCUACUAGAAGCUCGGAGCCUCGGUUCUGUUUUUCAAAGCUAACGCAUUAAGUAGACCGCCUGGGGAGUACGGCCGCAAGGUUAAAACUCAAAUG